UCCCUACCGGAACCUGAUUUCCACGUUGGUAAUAUCAGCCUUCAAUCUGGCUGUCAACACGGAGAAGACUGCCUUGUGGAAGUGAAUCACGACUUUGGAACGUAUCCCAGCCUUGUAGUAGUGCGGACUCGGCUUGAUGACUUCUCCUUGACGAAUCAUUCUUUGAUGUCUGACGCCAUUGGCUCAGGGUUCAUUUUCGCAAAUACUGACGAAGUCGGUCUGCAUCACGGAUUUGUGGUUUAUGGUUUCAACGAGUCGGCAUUCAGAAUUUGGACAGAAUCACAGCGGUAUACUCAGCACUAUAUUUUCUGUGGAAAAGACGGUACAGGGUUUGGUAUUUGUGUGAGUAAUGGAACGCUAGAAAUUCUUGCUUGGAAGGAGUUUACAUUGUCACCAACGGAGAAGAUGGAAAUGCUUCUUGGGGCACAGGCUAAUGAAACAUUUGACCAGGAAAAAUUCAUGUCAGCGAAAACAAGUGGACGCGAAUAUUUCGUUCAACUUUGGGCAGUUGCCCGCAGUGGACCCAAUAACAACUUCCGGUUUCUAGCCAGCGGUUCCAUGUCAGGAUAUAGACUCGGCAAAGUAACUCCAUGUACCUAUGGUGGACUCGUAUUCGCAUAUUCAAACACAACGCUAAGACUUUGGAAGCCAAACAGCUUUGCCAAAAGGGCUGCAAUCAUUUGCAUCUCAGACGUUUUUGCAGGCGGUAAAUACUCACAGAGCACGAAUGAUGCGUUUGCGGUUGCCCACGUAUGGAUUACUUUAGACCACACAUUGCACGAGGAAUGCACUACCUCUCGUGAUUGUUGGGAUGCAUUUUCCACAUGCAGAGAUUUAACAUGCUAAUGUGAGGCCGGAUUUACUGAAACACACCAAGACACAAACCAUACGACCACAGGAUGUUAUGUUGACGGAGAAUGUAAUCACGCAAAUGAAACUGCUGGCGACUGCAUACGAUGUCAUCUGCCCUUUGACGCAUGUCACUGGCCCGGUGGCCCAGCUCCUAAUACGCACACUACUACAAUAGUCAUUUCAGCCUUGGUUAGACUCUAUAUUAUCAUUGGUGGCUCCGCUGCGGGUUUGCUUACACUGGUGACCAUAGUUACUUUCCUGUGUCUCCGACAGCGAAAGCGCAAGGCAGCCCGUUUAAAUCGUUAUGAGCUGAUGCAGGCGUUGUAGUGAUUGACAACCGCCAUUAUCAGACAUGCAACGUCGCUGUUGAUGACAAGCAAAUGCAAGUCGUGAUAAACGCUUGGUUUUGUAAAAUUUCAUGGUACAUAUAUGUACAAACAUUUGCGUGUAUUAACAAAGAUAAUUCACCAGUUUGGAUUUUAAAUAAAUAUAUUUGUAAAUGAACAAUUCUUUAUUUUAUUUAUUGAACUUUGGUCCACUAUAGUCGUGAUAAACGCUUGGUUUUGUAAAAUCUCAUUGUACAUAUAUAUAGUUCUAUACA
Molecule: long non-coding RNA, 1453 nt
Organism: Dreissena polymorpha
Lineage: Eukaryota; Metazoa; Mollusca; Bivalvia; Myida; Dreissenidae
Exons: 10
Source: RefSeq, a predicted model, not a curated record